UUUCCGUAGGUGAACCUGCGGAAGGAUCAUUAAAGUUAUAAUCCCCCGGCCGUCUGGGCUGGGGUCUUCUAUUCCACCUAUUGUUUAUUGUACCCUUGUUGCUUUGGCACGCCUCCCCUCCGGCUCCUGGCUCCGGCCGGAUCGCGUCUGCCAGAGGACCUAUACUCUGUUUUUGUAUGAAGUCUGAGUACUAUAUAAUAGUUAAAACUUUCAACAACGGAUCUCUUGGCUCUC
This 234-nucleotide unclassified non-coding RNA is filed under the name plant metagenome. RNAcentral's name for it is "partial contains small subunit ribosomal RNA, internal transcribed spacer 1, and 5.8S ribosomal RNA". The record is from RNAcentral.